AUUGAACGCUGGCGGCAUGCUUUACACAUGCAAGUCGAACGGCAACGAGGAGAAGCUUGCUUCUCUGUCGGCGAGUGGCGAACGGGUGAGUAUAGCAGCGGAACGUGCCAAGUAGUGGGGGAUAACCAAACGAAAGUUUGGCUAAUACCGCGUAAGCUCCAAGGAGGAAAGUAGGGGACCUAAAUAAGGCCUUACGCUAUUUGAUCGGCCGAUGUCGGAUUAGCUAGUUGGUGGGGUAAUGGCUCACCAAGGCAAUGAUCCGUAGCGGGUCUGAGAGGACGAUCCGCCACACUGGAACUGAGACACGGCCCAGACUCCUACGGGAGGCAGCAGUAGGGAAUUUUGGACAAUGGGGGAAACCCUGAUCCAGCCAUGCCGCGUGUAUGAAGAAGGCCUUAGGGUUGUAAAGUACUUUUGUUAGGGAAGAAAAGCUAGUUUUUAAUAAAAAUUAGUGAUGACGGUACCUAAAGAAUAAGCACCGGCUAACUACGUG
RNAcentral lists this ribosomal RNA (493 nucleotides) under uncultured bacterium. RNAcentral's name for it is "partial 16S ribosomal RNA". It matches the Rfam family "Bacterial small subunit ribosomal RNA", at positions 30 to 507 of the family's 1533-position model. The record is from RNAcentral.